UACGUAGGGUGCGAGCGUUAAUCGGAAUCACUGGGCGUAAAGCGCACGUAGGCGGACUCUUAAGUCGGUGGUGAAAUCCUGGAGCUCAACUCCAGAACUGCCUUCGAUACUGAGAGUCUCGAGUCCGGGAGAGGUGAGUGGAACUGCGAGUGUAGAGGUGAAAUUCGUAGAUAUUCGCAAGAACACCAGUGGCGAAGGCGGCUCACUGGCCCGGUACUGACGCUGAGGUGCGAAAGCGUGGGGAGCAAACAGG
This 253-nucleotide ribosomal RNA is filed under the name uncultured bacterium. Its description in RNAcentral is "partial 16S ribosomal RNA". It matches the Rfam family "Bacterial small subunit ribosomal RNA", at positions 524 to 776 of the family's 1533-position model. The record is from RNAcentral.